Molecule: ribosomal RNA, 115 nt
Filed under: Armatimonadota bacterium
Lineage: Bacteria; Bacillati; Armatimonadota
Description: Armatimonadetes bacterium (sediment metagenome) partial 23S ribosomal RNA
Rfam family: Bacterial large subunit ribosomal RNA
Source: RNAcentral
CCUAAAAGGUAACGGAGGCGCCCAAAGCUUCCCUCAGCGUGGUCGGAAAUCACGCGUCGAGUGUAAGGGCAUAAGGGAGGCUGACUGUGAGACCGACUGGUCGAGCAGGGGCGAA